RNAcentral lists this ribosomal RNA (362 nucleotides) under uncultured Eubacteriales bacterium. RNAcentral describes it as "bacterial SSU rRNA". It matches the Rfam family "Bacterial small subunit ribosomal RNA", at positions 1 to 339 of the family's 1533-position model. The record is from RNAcentral. Lineage: Bacteria; Bacillati; Bacillota; Clostridia; Eubacteriales.
AGUAGUUUGAUCCUGGCUCAGGACGAACGCUGGCGGCGUGCUUAACACAUGCAAGUCGAACGAAGUCGUUCCACCGACACGGAUUACUUCGGUAAGAAGUGUCACCGGAAAGGCUUAGUGGCGGACGGGUGAGUAACGCGUGAGCAACCUGCCCAUAAGAGGGGGAUAACAGUUGGAAACGACUGCUAAUACCGCAUAAGACCACAUUACCGCAUGGUAGAGGGUCAAAGAACGGAAUCGCUUAUGGAUGGGCUCGCGUCCCAUUAGGUAGUUGGCAGGGUAAAAGCCUACCAAGCCGACGAUGGGUAGCCGACCUGAGAGGGUGAUCGGCCACACUGGAACUGAGACACGGUCCAGACUCC